GGACCCGCACAAGCAGUGGAGCAUGUGGUUUAAUUCGAUGAUACGCGAGAAACCUUACCAGCUCUUGUAUCCUGGUCGUGAUUUUCAGAGAUGAAUUUCUUCAGUUCGGCUGGACCAGUGACAGGUGUUGCAUGGCUGUCGUCAGCUCGUGUCGUGAGAUGUUAGGUUAAGUCCUUUAACGAGCGCAACCCCUAUUCUUAUUUGCCAUCAGGUUAUGCUGGGAACUAUAAGAAAACUGCCAACGACAAGUUGGAGGAAGGUGGGGAUGAUGUCAAGUCAUCAUGGCCCUUAUGGGCUGGGCUACACACAUGCUACAAUGGUAUCUACAACAGGAAGCAAAACUGCGAGGUUUAGCAAAUCCCUAAAAGAUACCUCAGUUCGGAUUGCACUCUGCAACUCGAGUGCAUGAAGCUGGAAUUACUAGUAA
This 427-nucleotide ribosomal RNA is filed under the name uncultured bacterium. RNAcentral describes it as "bacterial SSU rRNA". It matches the Rfam family "Bacterial small subunit ribosomal RNA", at positions 917 to 1341 of the family's 1533-position model. The record is from RNAcentral.